Molecule: long non-coding RNA, 1715 nt
Organism: Cydia splendana
Lineage: Eukaryota; Metazoa; Arthropoda; Insecta; Lepidoptera; Tortricidae
Exons: 3
Source: RefSeq, a predicted model, not a curated record
CUAUUCAUACUUCCGAGUUAUUUCUUAGAAUGUAUGUUUACCAAAGUUUCGUUUAUAUGAACGUAUUUUUGUGCAACCAAGUUUACGAAUUAUUUUGGGAAGUUAAGUUUCAGAGAAAAACCUUCAGAAAAAUGUAACUUUGGAAAAUAGCACGUGGAGAGAGACAUAUUCGGACUUUGUAUAGGUUCCCAACUCUCUCAUACUUAAUUUUUUUUGCAUUUGGGUAAGUUACCCAUCCUCACAAAUGCAUUUUAAAAAAAUGUUCGCACCUAACUAACUAAUUAUCAAGCACAUACGGUGGAUUUGCCAAGAAUGGUAGAACUAGGGUCGGCAGAAUCGCGCCGUCAGCUCCGGUUUCAGUGGGUGUUCGUAGGUCGACCUUAUUAGGGUCCCAUGUCAACAUGGAACUAUAACCUUAUAAAUUAAAUCCCAACGAUUCUCUUAAUAUAUGUAAAAUUGAUACGGUGCCAUGAUUCAGGGUACCGUUUUGCUGAUCCAUUGGCGUCGUACAGAGCUCUCCCAAGUGAAGCGACCCCCACACUUGCACGUCAAAACUAAAGGACCGUUACUGAAUACAAAGAACAUCGUACGUUGUGCUUUGUAUUAUACAUGUAUAUAUUUCUAUAUGAGUCGCACACACUCAUUUUAAUUAAAUUUAUCGUGUGGCAAUACUAUUUUUACGCUCGAGUAAAACAGACAUGUACAUAUUAAAAGAUCAAUGUACAAGAUUCUUCGUUUUUGGCGACGGCCCUUCAUGUCUAUCAACUAAGUUUGAUAGUAUUCUCGUACUCUCUGAGACUCUUACGUUUAGCCGUGUCAUGCACGAGUUCACUUGACUUGUCAUUUCGCAGAAUAUGGUAUGCAACUCAUAUGGCGAUAAUCUAAUAAGUCAGGUGUAAUAUUACCGAGUCGACCCUGUGUCUUAGCUAAUAUGUUACGUAUUAUAUUUUUGCGAUUUACGAGAAAUUUCUUGCGAUAUAGAAGAUUUAUUGUAUUAAAGUAGCGAAUAUGCAGUUAUUAGUUAGGAAAUUUAUCGAACUUCGAUUUAGCACACCGUUUUCUCCGCUUAAAAUAUGCAUACAAUAGUACGUUUUUAACAAAAACUCCACAAAACUUUAACGGCAUACAGCCAAGCGCCCUCUGCAUAGCGCGGAUUGCUGGGACCUAAUUAUUGAAACUCGUUGGCGGUCGGUCUCUUACGGCGCAUGCAUACAUUCACAAUACUGUUACAUACAACGACGUAUAGGCGCCUACUCGCUUUAGGCGGCCUACCCGCUUUUGGCCUGGUUACCCUAUUAGAUUUAUAAUUAAUGAGAAUAUGUAUUUUGAAGCAUAAGACUGUACGUCCUCCGCUUCAAUAAAUAUGACUUGUCUCUAAUUUGAAUUGUUUAUGUUUAUCAAAUUAGGUAUAGACACUGAACUCACACUCAUAAGUGUCACCUUAGAUUACGUCCAUUUGAUACGGAUCUCGAGUUCUAGUUACACUGUAUGAAUGAGUCAAAGUAUUUGUAAAACAAAUAUGAUUUAUUUAAUAUUGUAUAGGCUUCGACUCAGGAUCGACUUCGCAAUGUAAACGUGGCUUUAUAACGACUACGCUAUUUUGUAGGCGUAAUAUACUUUUGGACUAUUUAUUAUGUAUUGUUAAUUACUAUGUAUGUUGUAUUAAGAUAAAAAAUGAAAACAAAAAAUAAAUGUUAAUAAAUGCCUCAGCAAGU